UUUUUUUUUUUUUUUUUCUUCGUUUUUGGUAGAAAAGGGGAGAAACUCAAAAAUCCCUACAAAGCACCAGCCCGAGAAUAUGAAACUCCAGAGGAGGCAUGAAGGAGCCAAGAAGUAAUUCCAGCAGAAGGAGCUUCUAAGACAUGCAGUCCCAUAGGCAAAGUGGAAGCAAACUCAGCUAGGCAAUCAGUACAGAAGAUGGCUUCUCUGUAGAUGUGACAAACGCGAACCUUCCAAUCCAAACUAAUCAAAUUCUUGAUGGAAGCCAAAAGAGCACGAACACUUCCUUGGGGUCAGAGGUCAGAGGUACAAGAAGGAAAAUAAUGUAGUUCAUAGCAGUGAAAAUCAAGGAAGAAAAAGGAGUUCACAGCUCAUCAGAGGAAAAAGAAAAAAAAAAUAGCAUCUCCUAUUUAAUUUUCCUUUUUUCCAGAGAAAUUUGGUACAGUUUUCAUGAUUCAGUACUCACCAUUUUCUUUUCUAGCUGAAAUUAGAAAUAUCUUGCAUAUAUAUAUAAAACAUUCGAGAGGGAAAAAUUUUAAUAAAAACAAAAAAUUACAAAGUGCAAUUUGAUCAAAGUCUUAAAGAUAAAUCAAGUUGGCUUAACUCUUCUUGAACAUUUUCAGGUCUGUAACCCAUGGACCAAGAACCAUCUCUAGAACCACCAUAAUUCAUCUCCCUCCUUCCAUAUCCCAUUUCAUCAACAAACCUACCAGCAUGUCCAUGGUGAUCAAAACCUGCUUGAUUACCUAGAACAUGGUUGAACCCACUCAUGCUAGAUGAUCCAGACCGAGAGUUAGACCCUCCAUGAGCUCGGACAGCUGAACUUAGCUCUCUGCUUUUUUUGGCUAAGGUUCUCUCGAGCUUGUGAGCAUUUUGGUGACCACCAAGAGCCUGAGAGCUGUAAAACUUUCUUUGACAAUAGUUGCAAGAGAAAACCCGAGGCUCUGCAGGACUACGAGGUGAAGUGGAAGAAGAAGAGGAAAGCUCGAGGACAAGUUCUAGGUUUAGUUGAUUUUUGGGUUGGAAAUCCAUGGCCCCAGAAAGUGAUGAGGAUAAAAAGUAAAUUGUACACGGCAAGAGAUGGGCUAGAUAGCUUGAUGUAACAAAUGAAGAGAAGUGAUGACGAUAAUAUGAGAGAGAGAGAAAGAGAGAGGAGUAUGUAUGUAGGAAUAAAGCAAGAAAGGGGAAGGCCUAUUGAAGAGAAAAGAGAAGAGAGGCGGAGAAUAGAUAUAAUAACAAAGAAGAACGUUUGUCUUGCAAUAUAAGAGGCACAGGGGUUCACUGUUUCAGCAAACCACAUAUAGCAAGCAAGAUAUAAGGUAAAAGGGAUGGCACUGUUAG
RNAcentral lists this unclassified non-coding RNA (1341 nucleotides) under Hevea brasiliensis (rubber tree). Lineage: Eukaryota; Viridiplantae; Streptophyta; Magnoliopsida; Malpighiales; Euphorbiaceae. The record is from RNAcentral.